This 226-nucleotide ribosomal RNA is filed under the name uncultured Actinomycetales bacterium. Its description in RNAcentral is "partial 16S ribosomal RNA". It matches the Rfam family "Bacterial small subunit ribosomal RNA", at positions 104 to 334 of the family's 1533-position model. Lineage: Bacteria; Bacillati; Actinomycetota; Actinomycetes; Actinomycetales. The record is from RNAcentral.
GGGUGAGUAACACGUGGGUGAUCUGCCCUGCACUUCGGGAUAAGCUUGGGAAACUGGGUCUAAUACCGGAUAGGAGCCAUCUUUAGUGUGGUGGUUGGAAAGUUUUUCGGUGUAGGAUGAGCCCGCGGCCUAUCAGCUUGUUGGUGGGGUAAUGGCCUACCAAGGCGGCGACGGGUAGCCGGCCUGAGAGGGUGUACGGCCACAUUGGGACUGAGAUACGGCCCAG